CGCUAAAGCUUCAUCUGAAAGGACGUGGAAUUUUUGAGUUCAGUAAAGGCCUGUUUAAGACUAAUGUUCUGUGUAACAAAUAUACAGAGU
Sinocyclocheilus grahami is the source of this 90-nucleotide long non-coding RNA. RefSeq lists it as uncharacterized. The transcript is spliced from 3 exons. The record is from RefSeq and is a predicted model, not a curated record. Lineage: Eukaryota; Metazoa; Chordata; Actinopteri; Cypriniformes; Cyprinidae.